RNAcentral lists this ribosomal RNA (423 nucleotides) under Verrucomicrobiota bacterium. RNAcentral describes it as "Verrucomicrobia bacterium partial 16S ribosomal RNA". It matches the Rfam family "Bacterial small subunit ribosomal RNA", at positions 355 to 776 of the family's 1533-position model. The record is from RNAcentral. Lineage: Bacteria; Pseudomonadati; Verrucomicrobiota.
UGAGGAAUAUUGGUCAAUGGACGAGAGUCUGAACCAGCCAAGUAGCGUGCAGGAUGACGGCCCUAUGGGUUGUAAACUGCUUUUGUUUGGGAAUAAUCGACAUUACGUGUAAUGUUUUGCAUGUACCAUUCGAAUAAGGACCGGCUAAUUCCGUGCCAGCAGCCGCGGUAAUACGUAUGGGGCGAGCGUUGUCCGGAAUUAUUGGGCGUAAAGGGUACGUAGGUGGUUUUUUAAGUCAGGUGUCAAAGCGUGGAGCUUAACUCCAUUAAGCACUUGAAACUGAAAGACUUGAGUGAAGGAGAGGAAAGUGGAAUUCCUAGUGUAGCGGUGAAAUGCGUAGAUAUUAGGAGGAAUACCGGUGGCGAAGGCGACUUUCUGGACUUUUACUGACGCUCAGGUACGAAAGCGUGGGGAGCAAACAGG